GACGAACGCUGGCGGCGUGCUUAACACAUGCAAGUCGAACGAAGAGCGAUGGAAGCUUGCUUCUAUCAAUCUUAGUGGCGAACGGGUGAGUAACGCGUAAUCAACCUGCCCUUCAGAGGGGGACAACAGUUGGAAACGACUGCUAAUACCGCAUACGAUCUAAUCUCGGCAUCGAGGAUGGAUGAAAGGUGGCCUCUACAUGUAAGCUAUCACUGAAGGAGGGGAUUGCGUCUGAUUAGCUAGUUGGAGGGGUAACGGCCCACCAAGGCGAUGAUCAGUAGCCGGUCUGAGAGGAUGAACGGCCACAUUGGGACUGAGACACGGCCCAGACUCCUACGGGAGGCAGCAGUGGGGAAUCUUCCGCAAUGGACGAAAGUCUGACGGAGCAACGCCGCGUGAGUGAUGACGGCCUUCGGAUUGUAAAGCUCUGUUAAUCGGGACGAAAGGCCUUCUUGCGAAUAGUGAGAAGGAUUGACGGUACCGGAAUAGAAAGCCACGGCUAACUACGUG
This 510-nucleotide ribosomal RNA is filed under the name uncultured bacterium. Its description in RNAcentral is "partial 16S ribosomal RNA". It matches the Rfam family "Bacterial small subunit ribosomal RNA", at positions 28 to 507 of the family's 1533-position model. The record is from RNAcentral.